CAGUGGCGAACGGGUGAGUAACACGUGGGCAAUCUGCCCUGCACUCUGGGACAAGCCCUGGAAACGGGGUCUAAUACCGGAUAACACCUUCUNCCGCAUGGGGGUUGGUUAAAAGCUCCGGCGGUGCAGGAUGAGCCCGCGGCCUAUCAGCUUGUUGGUGGGGUAAUGGCCUACCAAGGCGACGACGGGUAGCCGGCCUGAGAGGGCGACCGGCCACACUGGGACUGAGACACGGCCCAGACUCCUACGGGAGGCAGCAGUGGGGAAUAUUGCACAAUGGGCGAAAGCCUGAUGCAGCGACGCCGCGUGAGGGAUGACGGCCUUCGGGUUGUAAACCUCUUUCAGCAGGGAAGAAGCGCAAGUGACGGUACCUGCAGAAGAAGCACCGGCUAACUACGUGCCAGCAGCCGCGGUAAUACGUAGGGUGCGAGCGUUGUCCGGAAUUAUUGGGCGUAAAGAGCUCGUAGGCGGUCUGUCGCGUCGGAUGUGAAAGCCCGGGGCUUAACCCC
RNAcentral lists this ribosomal RNA (509 nucleotides) under Streptomyces sp. 310C06. RNAcentral describes it as "bacterial SSU rRNA". It matches the Rfam family "Bacterial small subunit ribosomal RNA", at positions 93 to 616 of the family's 1533-position model. Lineage: Bacteria; Bacillati; Actinomycetota; Actinomycetes; Kitasatosporales; Streptomycetaceae. The record is from RNAcentral.